Molecule: ribosomal RNA, 450 nt
Filed under: uncultured bacterium
Lineage: Bacteria
Description: bacterial SSU rRNA
Rfam family: Bacterial small subunit ribosomal RNA
Source: RNAcentral
GUGAGGAAUUUUGCGCAAUAGGGGAAACCCUGACGCAGCAACGCCGCGUGAGUGAAGAAGGCCUUCGGGUCGUAAAGCUCUGUCAAGCGGGACAAAGUCCUGUGAGUGAAUAGCUCGCAGGAGUGAUGGUACUGCUAGAGGAAGCACCGGCUAACUCCGUGCCAGCAGCCGCGGUAAUACGGAGGGUGCAAGCGUUGUUCGGAAUUACUGGGCGUAAAGCGCGUGCAGGCGGUUCGGUAAGUCAGAUGUGAAAGCCCUGGGCUCAACCCAGGAAGUGCAUUUGAAACUGCCGUGCUAGAGUAUGGGAGAGGAGAGUGGAAUUCCCAGUGUAGAGGUGAAAUUCGUAGAUAUUGGGAGGAACACCCGUGGCGAAGGCGACUCUCUGGACCAAUACUGACGCUGAGACGCGAAAGCGUGGGGAGCAAACAGGAUUAGAAACCCGUGUAGUCC